GAUGAACGCUGGCGGCGUGCCUAAUACAUGCAAGUCGAGCGACCGGACGAGAAUCUUGCUUCUCUGAUGUUAGCGGCGGACGGGUGAGUAACACGUGGAUAACCUACCUAUAAGACUGGGAUAACUUCGGGAAACCGGAGCUAAUACCCGAUGAUAUUUUGAACCGCAUGGUUCAACAGUGAAAGACGUUCUUGCUGUCACUUAUAGAUGGAUCCGCGCUGCAUUAGCUAGUUGGUAAGGUAACGGCUUACCAAGGCAACGAUGCGUAGCCGACCUGAGAGGGUGAUCGGCCACACUGGAACUGAGACACGGUCCAGACUCCUACGGGAGGCAGCAGUAGGGAAUCUUGCGCAAUGGGCGAAAGCCUGACGGAGCAACGCCGCGUGAGUGAUGAAGGUCUUCGGAUCGUAAAACUCUGUUAGUAGGGAAGAACAGAUGUGUAAGUAACUGUGCACAUCUUGACGGUACCUAAUCAGAAAGCCACGGCUAACUACGUG
RNAcentral lists this ribosomal RNA (497 nucleotides) under uncultured bacterium. RNAcentral describes it as "partial 16S ribosomal RNA". It matches the Rfam family "Bacterial small subunit ribosomal RNA", at positions 28 to 507 of the family's 1533-position model. The record is from RNAcentral.